Molecule: transfer RNA, 98 nt
Filed under: Planctomycetales bacterium
Lineage: Bacteria; Pseudomonadati; Planctomycetota; Planctomycetia; Planctomycetales
Description: tRNA-Sec
Rfam family: Selenocysteine transfer RNA
Source: RNAcentral
GGAAGCGCAUGCAUCGCUGGUGCGGGCCGCGGUCUUCAAAGCCGUUGGGCCGUGCGACAAACGCGCGGCCGGUGGGUUCGAUUCCCAUGCGCUUCCGC